AGUCUGUUGAUGCACAAAACCGGGACGGUCUUGGAACAACGUAAAUCCGACCGUGAAUUUGCACAAACGCUCAAGAACACUCAGAACACAAAGAACACAAGGAUUUUAUCGUGGUUCACCCCAAUGUUUGGGCUACGUCCACACUGUAGUUGAUUCUGUUUCUCUGUAAUUGUAUGGAUACAAGUGUUUGAGGGGAAGUCCCCCAGAGAGAGAAGAGAAGGGAGAGGAGAGCCUCGGUGGUGUGAUGACUCUCUCUCAAGGCUGUUUUCAGCUCUAGCCCUUAGAAAUGAGGACUUCAGCUCUGGUUUAGAAUGAGGGGGAGUCCCCUUUUAUAGAAUAAGGGGCUCCUCCUUCUUUACAUUUGUCGUGGGCUUAAUGUGUGAGGCCCAAAUACGAGGCCCAAGGCCCAAAUACGAGGCCCAAAUAUAUGGUACCAACAGGAGUCCCCCAAGUCUUCAGUCAAGAGAGUCUUUUGGCUGGAGACUUCAAAUUCAGUCCAUGUGUGGGCCGAAGUGACUGGAUGCUGUCUUGAAACAAUACUCAACAUGAGUCAACGCUUAACAUAAAGUAAUACUCAGCUAGAGGUAGCACACGUUACGAGGUUGCCCGGCCGGAGGUGAUGCCCGUUGCGAGGCUGCUUGGUUAGAGGCUUACGCUCGCGGUGAGAACUUGCUUGGUUAGAGGCUUAUGCUCGCAUCGAGAGGUUGCUCGGCUGGAGUCGAUGCUCAUUGCAAGGUUGCUUGGCUAGAGGCUUAUGCUCGCGGCGAGAGAUUGCUCGGCCGGAGUCGAUGCCCAUUGCCAGGUUGCUCGGUAAGAGGCUACGCUCGCAGCAAGGCGGCUCGGCUCGUGGCAUUCCUGGUUGCAAGUACGUACUUUAUGUUAACGUGUACUCAGUAUGAGUUGAUUCUCGACAUGACUAGGGUCUGUAAGUUGGGUUUGAUUUUGUAAGUGCCCAACAUGAAUGGUGUCUCAGCCCGUGGGUGUCCAAGCAAGUGGAUGUCUGGUCAGGCAAGAGAUCAAUGUUGAUCAGUAGAGCUGGUUGCUCGAUAAUUCCUGACAAUAAAUGACAACAUAAGUAUGAUUGUAUAAUGAAUAAAUCGAAUUGACACAAUUUGUCAAGGCAGAAUAUUGUACGAUGUGCCUACUACAAAUAAAUGAUUUAUUCAGUUGUGUGGUAAAUCACACGUUGCAUAAGUGAAAUAAUUAGCUGAAACACUGGGCAAUGAAUAAAUAUUUGCACAAAUAAAUGCUUAUAAAUAUGCGCGAUCCGACUAGGAUUAGUGAUAUAUAUAUCUAUAUAUAUAUACUUGUGAAAGGUUGUGUGCCCAUAAUUAUGCCACGUGACUAGCCAUUGUCUCAAGGUAAUAGCCUUUGAUGCAAUAGUAUAUAAUAUAUUGAUCAGUUCGGUGCAUGUGUUUAGCACAUGCAAUAGAUGGAGUUAUGAUCAUUUACAAUGAUUAAGUACUACUUUCUGUCAGCACAGUACAUUUAAUAUGGUGUUACAUGGCAUAUAAGUGAUGCAUUUGUAUUGCACUACGCAUACUGAUAUUGGUAUGUGCAUAGCAGACUUAAGUUUACAACAGCAUUAUUUAAUAAAAGCACAAGCACGCGGCAUAUGCGGUUGCAUUCUAGCACAAGUGUAUAUAUAUAUAUAUAUAUACUGUUGUGAUGCCAACUAUCAUUAUAUACUAAUAAUGCUUUCUAGCAACAAGCACGGCAUAUACUAAUAAUGCUUUUGUGAUGCCAACUAUCAUAUUAUAUAUAUAUAUAUAUAUAUAUAUAUAUAUAUAUAUAUGCUGUUGUGAUGCCAACUAUCAUUAUAUAUAUAUAUAUAUAUAUAUAUAUAUAUAUAUAUACAUAUAUUAAUUAUGCUUUUGUGAGUGCCGAUUAUAAUGAAACACUAUUGAUAAAGAAAGAAGAUGCCUUAUCUUUAUCCCGACAUUGGCGGUCGACAGGAAAAAGUGGAUGGAGACCUAACGUUUUUUGUUGUUGUCCAAGCCCUUUUUGAUGAUGAUUAUCGUCUCCGUCUCGGCCUCAGACGCAGAUCGCGGCGGCGUCGGCGUCUGGGAUGGAGUUUCAGCCAUAGGGUUUGGGUUUGAAUGUGAUCUCUGUGUGUGCACUUGGGCUUCUGAGUUGAUUUUGAUACUGGGCUCUGCCAAACUCGGGUCUCACAUUUGAUUGCAUAAAAUUCAAACCAUGAGGCACAUGGUAUGGCUGACCCCAUGCCCUCUCUCCGAAUCUGGUUGCAGUACAUUAUAAUUCUUUAAACUUGAAUUAACAGGAGCUCCACUUUGUCUCUGGCCCCCAACCCACAGGGGAUUUAGCGGGUUUCAGGGGAUUUAGCGGCGGAACAUGGCGGAUGGAGGUGAGAUUCUGGCUCUGUGGGGUUGAGAAUGGCAGAGAGAGAAGUGGACAUCCAGGAGAGGCGGUGCUGUUUUCUGCAGAUUCACGGUGGAGGUUGUGAGGUUUGAUGAAAAAAAAUGAAAGAGAACCGACAUAGCUUUUCGUGUCGAUUCCCACAGACGGCGCCAAAUGUUGAUGCACAAAACCGGGACGGUCUUGGAACAACGUAAAUCCGACCGUGAAUUUGCACAAACGCUCAAGAACACUCAGAACACAAAGAACACAAGGAUUUUAUCGUGGUUCACCCCAAUGUUUGGGCUACGUCCACACUGUAGUUGAUUAUGUUUCUCUGUAAUUGUAUGGAUACAAGUGUUUGAGGGGAAGUCCCCCAGAGAGAGAAGAGAAGGGAGAGGAGAGCCUCGGUGGUGUGAUGACUCUCUCUCAAGGCUGUUUUCAGCUCUAGCCCUUAGAAAUGAGGACUUCAGCUCUGGUUUAGAAUGAGGGGGAGUCCCCUUUUAUAGAAUAAGGGGCUCCUCCUUCUUUACAUUUGUCGUGGGCUUAAUGUGUGAGGCCCAAAUACGAGGCCCAAGGCCCAAAUACGAGGCCCAAAUAUAUGGUACCAACAAAGUCUAUACUUCAAAAUUGACCGUGUCAUGUUUUGUCAUUUUUCGAUUAACAUCUAUGUUUCAUCAAGUCUAUCAAAUAGACUUUAUUCACAUCUUGUUGCUCAAAUUAUGACAUCACUCCCAUUGGCCUUGUUGUAACUUAGCAUUCAAAAAUUAACAAUUAUAUUUUCUUGAUUUGAAUGCAUAUUGCUCCCACUAAUUUAAAUGAAUCAUACAUAAAAGAAUUCCUUCUCAAGCAAUUCCAUGAAAUGUGUGACUUGCUUUAUCAAAUCUAUUCAUUUAAAUUAUAUGGUGUCAUACACCAUACUUCAAGUUUUAGUCAUACUAAGACCUUUAAUGUAGUCA
Molecule: long non-coding RNA, 3314 nt
Filed under: Malus domestica (apple)
Lineage: Eukaryota; Viridiplantae; Streptophyta; Magnoliopsida; Rosales; Rosaceae
Description: long non-coding RNA (MDOM_LNC010690)
Source: RNAcentral